AUUGAACGCUGGCGGCAUGCCUUACACAUGCAAGUCGAACGGCAGCACGGGUGCUUGCACCUGGUGGCGAGUGGCGAACGGGUGAGUAAUACGUCGGAACAUGUCCUGUAGUGGGGGAUAGCCCGGCGAAAGCCGGAUUAAUACCGCAUACGAUCCACGGAUGAAAGCGGGGGACCUUCGGGCCUCGCGCUAUAGGGUUGGCCGAUGGCUGAUUAGCUAGUUGGUGGGGUAAAGGCCUACCAAGGCGACGAUCAGUAGCUGGUCUGAGAGGACGACCAGCCACACUGGGACUGAGACACGGCCCAGACUCCUACGGGAGGCAGCAGUGGGGAAUUUUGGACAAUGGGCGAAAGCCUGAUCCAGCAAUGCCGCGUGUGUGAAGAAGGCCUUCGGGUUGUAAAGCACUUUUGUCCGGAAAGAAAUCCUUGACUCUAAUACAGUCGGGGGAUGACGGUACCGGAAGAAUAAGCACCGGCUAACUACGUG
Molecule: ribosomal RNA, 486 nt
Filed under: uncultured bacterium
Lineage: Bacteria
Description: partial 16S ribosomal RNA
Rfam family: Bacterial small subunit ribosomal RNA
Source: RNAcentral